CACCGCGGUUAUACGAGAGGCCCAAGUUGACAAACACCGGCGUAAAGAGUGGUUAAUAAAACAUAAACUAAGGCUGAACACCUUCAAAGCCGUCAUACGCUCCCGAAGGCAGGAAGUCCUCCAACGAAAGUGGCCUUAACAAAUUAUGAACCCACGAAAGCUAGGACA
RNAcentral lists this ribosomal RNA (168 nucleotides) under Favonigobius melanobranchus (blackthroat goby). Its description in RNAcentral is "partial 12S ribosomal RNA". Lineage: Eukaryota; Metazoa; Chordata; Actinopteri; Gobiiformes; Gobiidae. The record is from RNAcentral.